GAGGGCGUAGCGCAACUGGAUAGCGCAAGGGAUUUCUACUCCCUUGGUUGGGGGUUCGAGUCCCUCCGCCUUUGCCA
Molecule: transfer RNA, 77 nt
Filed under: Klebsiella phage KP13-26
Lineage: Duplodnaviria; Heunggongvirae; Uroviricota; Caudoviricetes
Also listed under: 1 other name
Description: tRNA-Arg
Rfam family: tRNA
About the family: Transfer RNA (tRNA) molecules are approximately 80 nucleotides in length. Their secondary structure includes four short double-helical elements and three loops (D, anti-codon, and T loops). Further hydrogen bonds mediate the characteristic L-shaped molecular structure. tRNAs have two regions of fundamental functional importance: the anti-codon, which is responsible for specific mRNA codon recognition, and the 3' end, to which the tRNAs corresponding amino acid is attached (by aminoacyl-tRNA synthetases). tRNAs cope with the degeneracy of the genetic code in two manners: having more than one tRNA (with a specific anti-codon) for a particular amino acid; and 'wobble' base-pairing, i.e. permitting non-standard base-pairing at the 3rd anti-codon position.
Source: RNAcentral